AUGGAGUGCUUGCACUCCUGAUGCUUAGCGGCGGACGGGUGAGUAAUACGUAGGUAACCUGCCCUUAAGACCGGGAUAACUCACGGAAACGUGGGCUAUACCGGAUAGGCGAUUUCCUCGCAUGAGGGAAUCGGGAAAGGCGGAGCAAUCUGCCACUUAUGGAUGGACCUACGGCGCAUUAGCUAGUUGGUGGGGUAACGGCUCACCAAGGCGACGAUGCGUAGCCGACCUGAGAGGGUGAUCGGCCACACUGGGACUGAGACACGGCCCAGACUCCUACGGGAGGCAGCAGUAGGGAAUCUUCCGCAAUGGACGCAAGUCUGACGGAGCAACGCCGCGUGAGUGAUGAAGGUUUUCGGAUCGUAAAGCUCUGUUGCCAGGGAAGAACGCUAUGGAGAGUAACUGUUCCAUAGGUGACGGUACCUGAGAAGAAAGCCCCGGCUAACUACGUGCCAGCAGCCGCGGUAAUACGUAGGGGGCAAGCGUUGUCCGGAAUUAUUGGGCGUAAAGCGCGCGCAGGCGGUCAUGUAAGUCUGGUGUUUAAACCCGGGGCUCAACUCCGGGUCGCAUCCGAAACUGUGUGACUUGAGUGCAGAAGAGGAAAGUGGAAUUCCACGUGUGCGGUGAAAUGCGUAGAGAUGUGGAGGAACACCAGUGGCGAAGGCGACUUUCUGGGCUGUAACUGACGCUGAGGCGCGAAAGCGUGGGGAGCAAACAGGAUUGAUACCCUGGUAGUCCACGCCGUAAACGAUGAAUGCUAGGGUGUUAGGGGGUUUCGAUACCCUUGGUGCCGAAGUUAACACAUUAAGCAUUCCGCCUGGGGGAGUACGGUCGCAAGACUGAAACUCAAAGGGAAUUGACGGGGGACCCGCACAAGAGUGGGAGUAUGUGGUUUAAUUCGAAGCAACGCGAAGAAACCUUACCAGGUCUUUGACAUCCCUCUGACCGUCCUAGAGAUAGGGCUUCCCUUUCGGGGCAGAAGAUGACANAGGUGGGUGCAUGGUUUGUUCGUUCAGCCCCGUGUCGUGAAGAUGUUGGGGUUAAG
This 1045-nucleotide ribosomal RNA is filed under the name Paenibacillus dendritiformis. RNAcentral's name for it is "bacterial SSU rRNA". It matches the Rfam family "Bacterial small subunit ribosomal RNA", at positions 71 to 1084 of the family's 1533-position model. Lineage: Bacteria; Bacillati; Bacillota; Bacilli; Caryophanales; Paenibacillaceae. The record is from RNAcentral.